RNAcentral lists this ribosomal RNA (392 nucleotides) under uncultured bacterium. RNAcentral's name for it is "partial 16S ribosomal RNA". It matches the Rfam family "Bacterial small subunit ribosomal RNA", at positions 523 to 918 of the family's 1533-position model. The record is from RNAcentral.
AUACGGAGGAUCCGAGCGUUAUCCGGAUUUAUUGGGUUUAAAGGGUGCGCAGGCGGCCAUUUAAGUCAGCGGUUAAAUCGUGGGGCUCAACCCCAUUCUGCCGUUGAUACUGGGUGGCUUGAUUGCGGUCGAGGUUGGCGGAAUUCGUUGUGUAGCGGUGAAAUGCAUAGAUAUGACGAAGAACACCGAUUGCGUAGGCAGCUGACCAGACCGCAAAUGACGCUCAUGCACGAAAGUGCUGGGAUCGAACAGGAUUAGAUACCCUGGUAGUCCGCACAGUAAACGAUGAAUACUUGUUUUCGGCGAUAUAAUGUCGGAGGCAAAGCGAAAGCGAUAAGUAUUCCACCUGGGGAGUACGCCGGCAACGGUGAAACUCAAAGGAAUUGACGGGG